UAGGUUGGCCUUCUGCUUCGAGCCAUGGGUUAUCCACCUAGGACAAGAAUAUUCCUAUCAGGUUCUGAAACCUUUGGCGGACAACGGGUUAUGAUUCCUUUACGCGCCAUGUACACCAAUUUAGUUGAUCGUACUUCUUUGUGCAGCAAAACAGAGCUAGCCAAUUUAGUUGGCCCUGAAACCCCCCUUAUUCCUGAUCCUGAUCAGUUUUUACCAGUAAAAAGUUCAAAUCAACUAAAAUCAGAAUGGGACAAGUCUGGUCCCCGCCCAAGGCCUCUACCACCUCCUCCUGAUCGACCUAUUUAUCGACAUGAAAAAGAAGGCUGGUAUGGGUGGGUUGCAGAGAAAGAUAAGGAACCAGAACCUUCUCUCAAUGAUCAGAGGGAGCAAGCACACCGACUGCUAUGGGAUGCUCUUGAUUACAUAGUCUCGGUGGACGCUGAAGUUUUUUUCCCUGGUUUUGACAAUGAUGGUAGUGGGCCUGAUUUUGCUAGCUUGGUGAUGGGACACCGACUUUAUGAGAUGGCAUCUGCAAGAACAUUUCGGCCAAACAGGUAAAACUAACAACACUCCUGGUCCUUUCUUUGUUUGGUGUUUACUAUUUCUUUUUAUUUACCAUCACUUUCUAAAAUGUAUCUUGUAUAUGCAGGAAAUAUCUUGCAGAGCUCUUUAAUACUACCGUCGAUCAUCUUUAUUAUCCACCUCGUAAUUGGACUUUUGCUGUCAGAGAACAUCUCAACAAAAGCCUGGCAGAAGAGGGCCUUUUGAAGGAAUCUAAUCUAUCAAAAACAAAGUUUUUCCUCUCUCACCCUAUUCCAGAAUGCUCAUGUUCAACUGUCAAGGCUACUGAUAUUGUGCAUUCAGGAAAGAACAACAAUCUCCAUCUGUUGUUUGAAGGGCAGGAUGAGUGCCCCAAAUGGAUGCAACAACUAAGAACUCAAGAGGCUAAAGCUGAUGAAGUUGAUUCUCAAGAAGAUGAGAUUGAUUUAAACGGGCAGUCAGAAUCGGAAGGAUACAAUGGAACUGAUGCAAUUCCAUCCCUGGAACAGGAUGAGGAAAUGGAUCCUGAUGAUUAGGAUUAGAUGUACAUAUCUUGCCUUCAUUUUCUUGUUCAUUUCCCUCUAUGCCACCGACGUCAAGCCCCACUCUGGAUUAAUCUUUUCUAAGAGUGUAAAAACUUACAGCAGCAGCAUGCUGCUUUUGGAAUGUCUGGAAGCACUCCCAAUUUUUUUGGGGCCAAAUUAACUGCAAGCACAGUUCUUCAAAUGUGCUUUAGAAGAAUCCGUGCAGUCUGCUUAGAGUUCAUUGCUUGGCAUCUGGACUCCAUUGGUCUCUUCCUUAGAACUCUCCCUCUUUCUCUCCAAGCAGGACAAGUUUUCUCAUCUUCUACAGGUAUACAGCAUACAAAAGAUGUCUAAAUUUCUAGUACUUUGCGACUGCACAAAGCAAAAGUGACACUGUGAAGCCAUAUAUAGUUGACAACGAUUCUUUGAUUUUCAUUUCACAUUUAGGUUGGCCUUCUGCUUCGAGCCAUGGGUUAUCCACCUAGGACAAGAAUAUUCCUAUCAGGUUCUGAAACCUUUGGCGGACAACGGGUUAUGAUUCCUUUACGCGCCAUGUACACCAAUUUAGUUGAUCGUACUUCUUUGUGCAGCAAAACAGAGCUAGCCAAUUUAGUUGGCCCUGAAACCCCCCUUAUUCCUGAUCCUGAUCAGCUUUUACCAGUAAAAAGUCCAAAUCAACUAAAAUCAGAAUGGGACAAGUCUGGUCCCCGCCCAAGGCCUCUACCACCUCCUCCUGAUCGACCUAUUUAUCGACAUGAAAAAGAAGGCUGGUAUGGGUGGGUUGCAGAGAAAGAUAAGGAACCAGAACCUUCUCUCAAUGAUCAGAGGGAGCAAGCACACCGACUGCUAUGGGAUGCUCUUGAUUACAUAGUCUCGGUGGACGCUGAAGUUUUUUUCCCUGGUUUUGACAAUGAUGGUAGUGGGCCUGAUUUUGCUAGCUUGGUGAUGGGACACCGACUUUAUGAGAUGGCAUCUGCAAGAACAUUUCGGCCAAAC
RNAcentral lists this long non-coding RNA (2060 nucleotides) under Solanum tuberosum (potato). RNAcentral describes it as "long non-coding RNA (STUB_LNC006602)". The record is from RNAcentral. Lineage: Eukaryota; Viridiplantae; Streptophyta; Magnoliopsida; Solanales; Solanaceae.